Molecule: long non-coding RNA, 325 nt
Filed under: Carica papaya (papaya)
Lineage: Eukaryota; Viridiplantae; Streptophyta; Magnoliopsida; Brassicales; Caricaceae
Description: long non-coding RNA (CPAP_LNC000911)
Source: RNAcentral
GGAUAUGAUUGGUUAAGAAAGAUAAAAAUUAUCAUAAAUGACUAUAGAGAAAAAUAGGUGUUUCAGUAAACAUUAAUGAAGAAAACUUGAAAGACAUGAUUUAACUCAACAAUGGACAAGAGAACAUAAUUUUCAUAAGCAAAUGUAAUGGUGGUAGAUGCUUAAGCCCAAAUGUUUUGUUUUUGUUCGAGGGUGUAUCUAAAUAAGUUCUCAAACUAUAACUCGAACUACCUCUUUGAACACAUUAUCCCAUUGCUAAAAAGACAUGGUCGGGAAUAUAUUAACAUUGUCCAAGAGCUAGACACUUCCUAAGGUGAAGGUGAAG